AGGGUUUUUCGCAUCGGGCUCACCCUCGACCCCGCAACGCCGCGUGGUGAGGAAGGCUUCGGGUCUAAACCUCUUUUGGCGGGACGAAAACUCCCGUGCUAAAUAUCGAGGAGCGGCCAAUUCCCUUCUAGCAGCCCCCGUGAUAACUUCCUACCGGGGGGUAAUAAUAUAA
Molecule: ribosomal RNA, 172 nt
Filed under: uncultured bacterium
Lineage: Bacteria
Description: partial 16S ribosomal RNA
Source: RNAcentral